AGAAAUAUGUCUGAUAAAAGA
RNAcentral lists this non-coding RNA (21 nucleotides) under Canis lupus familiaris (dog). Lineage: Eukaryota; Metazoa; Chordata; Mammalia; Carnivora; Canidae. RNAcentral also lists the same sequence under 1 other name. The record is from RNAcentral.